This 373-nucleotide ribosomal RNA is filed under the name uncultured organism. RNAcentral describes it as "partial 16S ribosomal RNA". It matches the Rfam family "Bacterial small subunit ribosomal RNA", at positions 527 to 896 of the family's 1533-position model. The record is from RNAcentral.
GUAGGUGGCAAGCGUUGUCCGGAAUUAUUGGGCGUAAAGCGCGCGCAGGCGGUCCUUUAAGUCUGAUGUGAAAGCCCACGGCUCAACCGUGGAGGGUCAUUGGAAACUGGGGGACUUGAGUACAGAAGAGGAAAGCGGAAUUCCAAGUGUAGCGGUGAAAUGCGUAGAGAUUUGGAGGAACACCAGUGGCGAAGGCGGCUUUCUGGUCUGUAACUGACGCUGAGGCGCGAAAGCGUGGGGAGCAAACAGGGAUUAGAUACCCUGGUAGUCCACGCCGUAAGCGAUGAGUGCUAAGUGUUAGGGGGUUUCCGCCCCCCUUAGUGCUGCAGCUAACGCAUUAAGCACUCCGCCUGGGAGUACGGCCGCAAGGCUG